Molecule: non-coding RNA, 1157 nt
Organism: Carica papaya (papaya)
Lineage: Eukaryota; Viridiplantae; Streptophyta; Magnoliopsida; Brassicales; Caricaceae
Source: RefSeq, a predicted model, not a curated record
CAGUGUGAGGAACGUUCCGGAAGAGACACCCGGCGCUCAUCAAGCGAUUUAGAGGGUAUUGAUGGGGUUCUAGUUGUGAUGAACGGCUAGGAAUAGGGAGAGAACCCAACGGUUGUGAUUAAAUUUAUUUAGUUUAAAAGGGAGGUAGUGAUAGGAAGAAAGGGGAGGAAAAGAAAGAGGGUGUGAAAUAGGAGAGGAACAAGUUGAGGAAGGGAGGAGAAACAGAAGAAGAUAGCAACAAAACGGAUUUUUAUUGAGGGUCGAAGGGUUGAAGCCCCGAAGAACUCUGAGUAAUGCUCGCUGCAUAUGUGGUGUCUGUGUGUAUGCAUCCUCUGCACUCUCGGGAAGGGAAGCCAGUAACAAAGUUGACCCAUUAUGUGAGUGGGUCGAGGGAUUGAGAUCCUGGUGUUCUCUGUUUUUCUUCUCUUUAUAUAUGAAUUAGCAUGGCACAUUUGGGAGACAGAAUGUGACUGGUAUGGGGGUCGUUUCACUGGAGAAUGCUGGAAGACUGUGUAUAAAGGGAAGUGGCCUGGUAGGAGGCUGGAGGUAAAGAGGAAGUCAGAGGGAUAAUUAUAGGGUAGUAGGAAAUUAAAAUGAUGCCUAACUGCAUAUAAUUUUGGGAGAUGUAGAGGGAUAGGAAAGGGAAAUAUUAAUGGCAGUAUGGUUACUGAUUUGAAGCAAUAUAUGAAACAAUAGGGGCUUAAGGGGAAAUCUGCUACUAGAGUCGGGUAUGAUGAGAUAGAGAACACCAGCACAGCAAUGAAAAGAGGUUGAGGGAAUUCUGAUUUAGGAAUUGUACUGCAUUCAAUACCCUGUUUGAGAAUCUAAAUUUGACCUUACUGGGCAUUGUAGGUUCAUUAUUGUGUUAUUUUCAUACAUAGUGAAACCUAAACACGAACAGGAGAUACCACUAGUAGAUUCUACCACUUAAGGGAGGGAAGGCAUGUCCAGGGAACAAGACUCGGGAGUAUGACACCAUACCCACACACUGAAUUAAUCCACAUUUAGCACUUAACACUGUUGUUAUAACGACGAUAUUGGGAAAAGUCUUUACAGAUUGCUUUCGAGAAACUAUUAUAUAAUUUGUAUUCACAUCACUAGAUGGAAAUGAAAUUAUAAAAUCUUGUUAAUAGAUAAAUGACUUCAUCACUUCAUGA